This 494-nucleotide ribosomal RNA is filed under the name uncultured bacterium. RNAcentral describes it as "partial 16S ribosomal RNA". It matches the Rfam family "Bacterial small subunit ribosomal RNA", at positions 28 to 507 of the family's 1533-position model. The record is from RNAcentral.
GACGAACGCUGGCGGCGUGCUUAACACAUGCCAGUCGAACGGUGAAGCGCCUUCCUUUUUGGUGGGUGUGGAUGAGUGGCGAACGGGUGAGUAACACGUGAGUAACCUGCCCCCUUCUUCUGGAUAACCGCAUGAAAGUGUGGCUAAUACGGGAUAUUCUGGGUCUGUCGCAUGAUGGGUCUGGGAAAGAUAUUGUUUCGGUGGGGGAUGGGCUCGCGGCCUAUCAGCUUGUUGGUGGGGUGAUGGCCUACCAAGGCGGUGACGGGUAGCCGGCCUGAGAGGGUGGACGGCCACACUGGGAAUGAGACACGGCCCAGACUCCUACGGGAGGCAGCAGUGGGGAAUAUUGCACAAUGGGCGCAAGCCUGAUGCAGCGACGCCGCGUGAGGGAUGGAGGCCUUCGGGUUGUGAACCUCUUUCGCCAGUGAAGCAGGCCUGCCUCGUUUGUGGGUGGGUUGACGGUAGCUGGAUAAGAAGCGCCGGCUAACUACGUG